Molecule: transfer-messenger RNA, 400 nt
Filed under: Bacteroidia bacterium
Lineage: Bacteria; Pseudomonadati; Bacteroidota; Bacteroidia
Rfam family: transfer-messenger RNA
About the family: Bacterial tmRNA, also known as 10Sa RNA or SsrA, is named for its dual tRNA and mRNA-like properties. Its role is to liberate the mRNA from a stalled ribosome.
Source: RNAcentral
GGGGUUGUUUGGUUUUGACAGCAGGUAGAAGGGAUAUGUAAGCACGCAGUGCAUUGUCGGAUAGCACUUUAAUCAUAGACGGCAAACAAUUAACUGGCGAAAAUGAAUACGCUCUCGCUGCCUGACCGAAGUUUAGUAGGUUAUUUGGCUUAAUCCUGUUGCAAGGCGACGGGACGGGACAUCUCUCAAACGCCCGCGCUUCGAGGCAGUUUGGUAAAGAGGUGCAGCAAAAUCGAAGAUAGUUGCGUUUGGCUUCGCAGGCACAAUGAAAAACAAAGAAGAUAAGGUGCAGGUUGGUAGUUUCGGUCUUGCCCGCACACGAAAAUUUAAGCGAAAAUAAGCGUGUAGAAAGCAUAUUGUUUCCUUGUUUGGACGAGGGUUCGACUCCCUCCAACUCCAC